AGUGAACGCUGGCGGCGUGCUUAACACAUGCAAGUCGAACGAGAACGGAUUAUAGCUUGCUAUAAUUGUCAGCUAAGUGGCGCACGGGUGAGUAAUGUAUAGGUAAUAUGCCUCUUACUAAGGGAUAACAACUGGAAACGUUUGCUAAUACCUUAUACUCCUUAUUAACAUAAGUUAAUAAGGGAAAGAUUUAUUGGUAAGAGAUUAGCCUGUAUUGUAUCAGUUAGUUGGUGGGGUAAUGGCUUACCAAGACUAUGAAACAUAACUGGUUUGAGAGGAUGAUCAGUCACACUGGAACUGAGACACGGUCCAGACUCCUACGGGAGGCAGCAGUGGGGAAUAUUGCACAAUGGACGAAAGUCUGAUGCAGCAACGCCGCGUGGAGGAUGACACAUUUCGGUGCGUAAACUCCUUUUAUAUGAGAAGAUAAUGACGGUAUUAUAUGAAUAAGCACCGGCUAACUCCGUGCCAGCCGCCGCUGUAA
Molecule: ribosomal RNA, 484 nt
Filed under: uncultured bacterium
Lineage: Bacteria
Description: partial 16S ribosomal RNA
Rfam family: Bacterial small subunit ribosomal RNA
Source: RNAcentral